Molecule: unclassified non-coding RNA, 663 nt
Filed under: Zea mays
Lineage: Eukaryota; Viridiplantae; Streptophyta; Magnoliopsida; Poales; Poaceae
Description: misc RNA Zm00001eb050300
Source: RNAcentral
CAGGAGCACCAGAUAUAAGCGCGCGUCACCUCCUCCUCUCUCCACCCUCCGACUCACUCUCUCUCCUCCUCACCCCCGUUCCUCCGGCCACCGCCUCCUCCACCAGGGGGCGCCAGAGACCUCCAUAAAGUCUCCCCCCGAUCCCCCCACUACACCUGCCCGCCCGCCAGUCUCCAGGGGAUCGGCCUGCCUCCUCCGCGCGAGGCAUAGAAGGAAUGUUAGACUGCAGUGCUACUUUUGCUUCCACUGUGAUCAGAUGGACAAACGUGUAGUUUCAUCUCUGCCUUCUAGUCUAGAACCUCCUCGAGGAACAACCGAACAACUCAACAACAUAUCCUCUUCUUGUCUCCAUUUUUUUUAAGCCGUUCUCUCUCUUUUCCUGGGAAGAGGGUGCUGCAGGGUCCUUUUGUAUAAAGUCUGUGUCAGGAGAAAAGCCGCUGAACAGAACAAAGCAACAUUGUAAACUAGCGUAAAAUGGCCAAAGUUGGGGGCCUAAUAUUAUUAGAUUUUUUAUGCCAGUGCCUGGACUUGUUAGGUCACCGGUUUCACUGCUAUUCUCUUGUGUCAUGCCGGCUGCCGCUGCCCCACUGCCAACAUUAUACUAGUGCAUGCUCUUAUUGGUCCACUCCUGAGUUGUACUAUUGAUUGUCAUGUCUUGUCUGG